This is a long non-coding RNA of Pimephales promelas (fathead minnow), 291 nucleotides long. RefSeq lists it as uncharacterized. Lineage: Eukaryota; Metazoa; Chordata; Actinopteri; Cypriniformes; Leuciscidae. The record is from RefSeq and is a predicted model, not a curated record.
CAAAAGACUGGCUCAGACUCUCCUGACUUGGUGUGGUGUAACUCUUCUGAAAGAGAAAUUAAAUGGACAGAUGCCUCGUCCAGCACCGUUUACCGUGAUUGUGUGAGACGAGUGAGAGGAUCCAGGCCUUACGUGUGUGAUGAAGUCGCUGCUGUCGGAGCUGAAGAGGUCGAGGCUGCGUGUGCCGUACAGUAAACCCGGCUCUCUGGAGCUCUGAGCGCUCAGGGUGUCGAAGAUCUCCCCGAGCAGGUCCAUCUCCUCCGGGUCAGCCAGGAGGGACAGCUCAUCCUC